This 118-nucleotide ribosomal RNA is filed under the name Pogona vitticeps (central bearded dragon). Lineage: Eukaryota; Metazoa; Chordata; Lepidosauria; Squamata; Agamidae. The record is from RNAcentral.
GCCUAUGGCCUUACCACUAUGAACACACCUGAUCUCAUCUGAUUUUGUCAGCUAAGCAGGGUCAAACUGGUUAGUAUUUACACACUGCUUGCAUAAUGUGAAUCUAAAAGCAUAGAUU